RNAcentral lists this ribosomal RNA (186 nucleotides) under Chloroflexota bacterium. RNAcentral's name for it is "Chloroflexi bacterium (rhizosphere metagenome) partial 23S ribosomal RNA". It matches the Rfam family "Bacterial large subunit ribosomal RNA", at positions 2741 to 2925 of the family's 2925-position model. The record is from RNAcentral. Lineage: Bacteria; Bacillati; Chloroflexota.
CUGGAUAGCUAUGUUCAGAAAGGAGAAGCGCUGAAGGCAUCUAAGCGCGAAGCCGCUCCCAAGACGCAUUCUCCCAUCUCCAUGUGAGAUCAAGAUCCCAGGAAGAAGACCUGGUAGAUAGACUGCAGGUGGACGCCUGGUAACAGGCGCAGCCAAGCAGGCCUAAUGAUCGUACGGCUUGUCUUC